Molecule: ribosomal RNA, 253 nt
Filed under: uncultured bacterium
Lineage: Bacteria
Description: partial 16S ribosomal RNA
Rfam family: Bacterial small subunit ribosomal RNA
Source: RNAcentral
UACGUAGGCAGCGAGCGUUGUUCGGAAUUACUGGGCGUAAAGAGUGUGUAGGCGGUGCUCCAAGUCUGUUGUGAAAUCUCCCGGCUUAACUGGGAGGGUGCAGCGGAAACUGGAAUGCUUGAGGGUGGGAGAGGAAAGCGGAAUUCCUGGUGUAGCGGUGAAAUGCGUAGAUAUCAGGAGGAACACCUGCGGUGUAGACAGCUUUCUGGACCACUUCUGACGCUGAGACACGAAAGCGUGGGUAGCAAACAGG